This 1274-nucleotide long non-coding RNA is filed under the name Nicotiana benthamiana. Its description in RNAcentral is "long non-coding RNA (NBEN_LNC019881)". The record is from RNAcentral. Lineage: Eukaryota; Viridiplantae; Streptophyta; Magnoliopsida; Solanales; Solanaceae.
CAAGCACAAACAGGAGGUAACAGUGAGCGGGAAGCUGGUGAAAUUCAUACCCACUAGGAAAUCACAAGAGAAGCCGGAGACGAGAUUGAAAAACCCCCCUUUCUCUAAGCCUGACAAUAUCAAGAUUGCAAUGCAAGCACCAAAAAGACCAAGAAACCGUGGGUAACACACACUGGAUCCAACCUUUGAAAUUCAGUAUCCAAUCCUUAAGUACUGUCACCAUGUGGUCUACACAUCCACCCAACAAACAGAACACGUUGGCGUGAUUUACAAAAAGAAAACAGUAGCAUGUAGCGAGAAAAGCAAGGUAGAUGAACACUUUAUGGGGCUAUCAGAAGAUCCAGAUUUGAGAUUGAAAACUUAUCAGGUGUCCAACCAGGCGUCCAUAACCAUAAGAGAGAUCAAGUUGGAUAUUUGAAGAACAUAAGCAUCUGCACUGAAGAUAAAAAAAUGACAGCAGAAUACACUACAAACACUUCUGAAAAGAUUUAUCUCAGCUCUGUAUUACCAGCAGUGCUGAAGAUGAAAAAAUGGCAACAGAAUACACUACAAACACUCAUAAAAGAUUUAUCUCAGCUCUGUAUUACCAGCAGUUUGGACAAAGAGAGAAGGGAAUCGCUAUCAUUAGGGAAGGAAACUGGAAUGAAAACCUCAAUAACUACAGAAACCUCCAUGCAAAUCGGCAAGCAAACACGCGGCUCCUUGGAAAGACGCAUUCACUGCUCCAAGGCCCAAUGGCUGCAAGCACAAAUAGGAGGUACCAUUUAAGUGAAAAACUGGUGAAACCGUACCACUACGAAACCAAAAGAGAUGCCAGAGACAAGAUUGAAAAAACCCUUUUCUCGAAGCCUUGACAAUACCAAGAUUGCGUUGCAAGCACCAAAAAGACCAAGAAACCACGCAUAACGCAUGCUGGAUCACCAACCUUUGAAAUUUCAAAAUCCAAUCCUUAAUUACUGUCACCAUGUGUCUACACAUCCCCACAACAAACUAAUACAAGUUGGCGUGAUAAACAAAGAAAACAGUAGCAGAAAAGAUAUGUAGCGAGAAAACCAAAAGUAGAGGAGCACUUUAUGGGGCUAUCACAAAAGAUCCAUAUUUGAGAUUGAGUACUUAUCAGGUGUCCAACCAGGUGUGAAAACAUAAGCAUCUGGAAUGAAAAAACUGAAAAUGGCAGCAAAAUAUGCUAUACACACUUGUGAAAGAUUUAUCUCAGUCAACAAUUUCCCCAUACCAGCAGUUUUGACAAAGAUAAGGGAAUCACGAUAAUUAGG